Molecule: ribosomal RNA, 253 nt
Filed under: uncultured bacterium
Lineage: Bacteria
Description: partial 16S ribosomal RNA
Rfam family: Bacterial small subunit ribosomal RNA
Source: RNAcentral
UACGUAGGUGGCGAGCGUUACUCGGAAUUACUAGGCGUAAAGCGCAGGUAGGUGGUUGGGUAAGUCUGCAAUGAAAGCUCCCGGCUUAACUGGGAGACGUUUGUGGAUACUGCUUGACUCGAGUGUGGGAGAGGUAACUGGAAUUCCCGGUGUAGCGGUGAAAUGCGUAGAGAUCGGGAGGAACACCAACGGCGAAAGCAGGUUACUGGCCCAAUACUGACACUGAGCUGCGAAAGCUAGGGGAGCAAACAGG